RNAcentral lists this ribosomal RNA (267 nucleotides) under uncultured bacterium. RNAcentral's name for it is "partial 16S ribosomal RNA". It matches the Rfam family "Bacterial small subunit ribosomal RNA", at positions 355 to 627 of the family's 1533-position model. The record is from RNAcentral.
UGAGGAAUUUUGCGCAAUGGGGGAAACCCUGACGCAGCGACGCCGCGUGGAGGAUGAAGGCCUUCGGGUCGUAAACUCCUGUCAGAGGUGAAGAAUGCCCGCAAGGGUUUGACGGUAACCUCAGAGGAAGCCCCGGCUAACUACGUGCCAGCAGCCGCGGUAAUACGUAGGGGGCAAACGUUACUCGGAAUUACUGGGCGUAAAGGGUGCGUAGGCGGCUGGGAAAGUCAAGGAUGAAAUCCCGUGGCUCAACUGCGGAACGGUCCU